Molecule: ribosomal RNA, 247 nt
Filed under: uncultured bacterium
Lineage: Bacteria
Description: partial 16S ribosomal RNA
Rfam family: Bacterial small subunit ribosomal RNA
Source: RNAcentral
GCGCACGGGUGAGUAACGCGUAGGUGACAUGCCUUUUAGUGGGGGAUAACAUCGGGAAACCGGUGCUAAUACCGCAUAUUCUGUGUGCCAUUAAAAAAGCACAGCAAAGGGGGCUUCGGCUCUUGCUAGAAGAUUGGCCUGCGUUGCAUUAGCUUGUUGGUGGGGUAAUGGCCUACCAAGGCGACGAUGCAUAACUGGUCUGAGAGGAUGAUCAGUCACACUGGAACUGAGACACGGUCCAGACUCC